This 758-nucleotide ribosomal RNA is filed under the name uncultured bacterium. Its description in RNAcentral is "bacterial SSU rRNA". It matches the Rfam family "Bacterial small subunit ribosomal RNA", at positions 8 to 796 of the family's 1533-position model. The record is from RNAcentral.
AGAGUUUGAUCCUGGCUCAGAAUCAACGCUGGCGGCGCGCCUAACACAUGCAAGUCGAACGAGAAAGCAGGAGCAAUCUUGUGAGUAAAGUGGCGUACGGGUGAGUAACACGUGGAUUAUCUACCCUCUUGUGGGGGAUAACCCUGGGAAACCGGGGCUAAUACCGCAUAAGCUCGAGAGAGGAAAGCAGCAAUGCGCAGGAGGAGGAGUCCGCGGCCGAUUAGCUAGUUGGUAGGGUAAAAGCCCACCAAGGCAGAGAUCGGUAGCCGGCCUGAGAGGGCACACGGCCACACUGGCACUGAAACACGGGCCAGACUCCUACGGGAGGCAGCAGUGGGGAAUCUUGCACAAUGGGGGAAACCCUGAUGCAGCGACGCCGCGUGAGCGAUGAAGCCCUUCGGGGUGUAAAGCUCUUUCGUCAGGGAAGAUUAUGACGGUACCUGGAGAAGCAGCUGCGGCUAACUACGUGCCAGCAGCCGCGGUAAUACGUAGGCAGCAAGCGUUGUUCGGAGUUACUGGGCGUAAAGGGUGUGUAGGCGGUUCUUUAAGUUUGGUGUGAAAUCUCCCGGCUCAACCGGGAGGGUGCGCCGAAUACUGAGGGACUAGAGUGUGGGAGAGGAAAGUGGAAUUCCUGGUGUAGCGGUGAAAUGCGUAGAUAUCAGGAGGAACACCGGUGGUGUAGACGGCUUUCUGGACCAUAACUGACGCUGAGACACGAAAGCGUGGGUAGCAAACAGGAUUAGAUACCCUAGUAGUCC